GACGAACCGUGCGAACGUUGUUCGGAAUCACUGGGCUUAAAGGGCGCGUAGGCGGCUGACCAAGUCUGGGGUGAAAUCCUGCAGCUUAACUGUAGAAGUGCCUGGGAUACUGGUCGGCUCGAGGGAGGUAGGGGUCUGUGGAACUGCUGGUGGAGCGGUGAAAUGCGUUGAUAUCAGCAGGAACGCCGGUGGCGAAAGCGACGGACUGGAUCUCUUCUGACGCUGAGGCGCGAAAGCCAGGGGAGCGAACGGG
RNAcentral lists this ribosomal RNA (253 nucleotides) under uncultured bacterium. RNAcentral's name for it is "partial 16S ribosomal RNA". It matches the Rfam family "Bacterial small subunit ribosomal RNA", at positions 524 to 776 of the family's 1533-position model. The record is from RNAcentral.